AAACCAUGGUGUGGGCAUUGAGCUUGGUAGCCCUUGAAUCUCUCCCAGGCUUCACUGAAGCCUUCCAAGUUCUUCUGUUGAAAGCUGGAAAUCUCAGCUUAGCAGUUC
This 108-nucleotide small nucleolar RNA is filed under the name Brassica napus (rape). RNAcentral's name for it is "Plant small nucleolar RNA R71". It matches the Rfam family "Plant small nucleolar RNA R71". From Rfam's summary of the family: R71 is a member of the C/D box family of snoRNAs containing the C (UGAUGA) and D (CUGA) box motifs. Multiple nearly identical copies of this snoRNA have been identified in Arabidopsis, and it is thought to function as a 2'-O-ribose methylation guide for 18S ribosomal RNA. Lineage: Eukaryota; Viridiplantae; Streptophyta; Magnoliopsida; Brassicales; Brassicaceae. The record is from Rfam by way of RNAcentral.